RNAcentral lists this ribosomal RNA (434 nucleotides) under uncultured bacterium. RNAcentral's name for it is "partial 16S ribosomal RNA". It matches the Rfam family "Bacterial small subunit ribosomal RNA", at positions 29 to 506 of the family's 1533-position model. The record is from RNAcentral.
AACGAACGCUGGCGGCAGGCUUAACACAUGCAAGUCGAACGCGUGCAGCAAUGCACGAGUGGCGCACGGGUGAGUAACGCGUGGAUAUCUGCCUUUUGGUUCGGAAUAACCCCGGGAAACUGGGGCUAAUACCGGAUGGUUCCUACGGGAUAAAGAUUUAUCGCCAAAAGAUGAGUCCGCGUCCGAUUAGCUAGUUGGUGAGGUAAUGGCUCACCAAGGCGACGAUCGGUAGCUGGUCUGAGAGGACGAUCAGCCACACUGGGACUGAGACACGGCCCAGACUCCUACGGGAGGCAGCAGUGGGGAAUAUUGGACAAUGGGGGCAACCCUGAUCCAGCCAUGCCGCGUGAGUGAUGAAGGCCUUCGGGUUGUAAAGCUCUUUUGGCGGGGACGAUGAUGACGGUACCCGCAGAAUAAGCCCCGGCUAACUUCGU